Long non-coding RNA from Capsicum annuum, 376 nucleotides. RefSeq lists it as uncharacterized. The record is from RefSeq and is a predicted model, not a curated record. The transcript is spliced from 2 exons. Lineage: Eukaryota; Viridiplantae; Streptophyta; Magnoliopsida; Solanales; Solanaceae.
GAAUCGCAUGUAUUUUCACGCGCCACCUGAAAUUUCACUCUGACUCUCACGUGCCGGCGCGUGUAGGCGCGUGAUCCGAUAAAACCGAUCGGAGAUGAUGUUCGGCGUUGACUUGUCAAAUAUGGGUCAACUCUGGAACAGAUGCCUUUCAGGGAUAGACAUUCGUGUUGAAGGGUGCAUGCUAUUAUCCUGGUGGUGAUGAUGGUACAUCUUCUGGCCUUCUGUUUGAUGAUUAGCAAAUAAGUCUCGUGAUACGAUUUAAUACGUAGGAAUCACGAUCAGUAGUUUAACUAAUCAUAACGCACCUGAAAAUGAUCUACUGUACUUGCUUUCGGUCUACUCUUGCCCUUUAAAUGUGAAUCAAGAUUCUUCUGUA